GGUCUUAUGUGUAAUGGUUAGCACUCUGGACUCUGAAUCCAGCGAUCCGGCGUUCAAAUCCGCGGUAGGACCU
This 73-nucleotide transfer RNA is filed under the name Pythium insidiosum. Its description in RNAcentral is "tRNA-Gln". It matches the Rfam family "tRNA". From Rfam's summary of the family: Transfer RNA (tRNA) molecules are approximately 80 nucleotides in length. The record is from RNAcentral. Lineage: Eukaryota; Oomycota; Peronosporomycetes; Pythiales; Pythiaceae.